Molecule: long non-coding RNA, 1953 nt
Filed under: Homo sapiens (human)
Lineage: Eukaryota; Metazoa; Chordata; Mammalia; Primates; Hominidae
Description: ANKRD34C antisense RNA 1
Source: RNAcentral
GAACUGAGAGCAGCGUUGGCCGGGGGCUAGGGAGCCGGGCUGUUCCACGCUCACUGUGCGCCUCGGGCGGCGGGGCUCGGGCUCUGUCCGAGGUGCUGAACUCCGGGGCUCCGGCCGCGCCGGCAGAGUGUGCCAGCGUCCAUUAUUGCCAGUGUCUGUGGGCAUCUUCCAGAAGGCCGAGCAUGGGGGUCAGGUGAAACCAGGGCGCUCCCAAGCACCUUGCCCAGUAGAGCCCCCUUGCACCCUGCUUGGUUGGUCAGCACCCCAUGGACAUGCAGCCUUGACCUUGGCAUGGGAAGCCUCCACUGUGUCAAGCCCAACAUCCAGGCCUCUGAAGACAGUCAUUCAGGUUUUCCAGGAGAGAAUCCACUUUUUGUUUUAUCUGGGUCAACUCCUUCAUAAUGGCCUGAAGGUCAUCUCCUCUCAACUUUCCAGACUUGGAAGAUCCCUGCUGUCCACUCUUAGAAUUGAGGCCACUUUUGCCCCUUCAUGAGGUGUUUCCUGAUACACGCUGACGUUUUGAGAGCACUACAGCCCAAGCAAUAGGAGGAGGAGGAGGCACACGUGCUGAGUAACUGUACAUCGUGUCAUCAUAAUCACCUUGAUAGUCAUAGCCCAAGUGAAAAGAGGAGCUAUACAUCUCCACUGCAGAUCGUUUCACGCCUGCUUUUCCACGGUUCACUUUUGGCUCUGCAGCCAGGUUAAUAUCUAAAACCUGGCCAGCAAUCAUUCUAUCAUCCUCUCCUGCUCCAGCAGCCCGGGCAUUUCUCUCACUAAAAUAUUGAACAAAGGCAAAGCCCUUAUGAACAGCACAGCCCAUUUUGCCAUACUUCGAAAAGAUUGCCUCCACAUCAGAUUUCUUGACCACAAGAGUGUUGAGAUUCCCAAUGAACACAUGGGAGUUCAUGGAGCAAGGAUUUGUCUUGUUGGUAACGUUGCUGGCCAUUGUGUUUGCUGAUAAGGUUUCUCACAAAGCUGAAAACAGGAGGGGGAGGGAGAAGAGAUUCGAUUCUGAGUCUCCUACUCCCGGGUUCUACAUGGAGAAGCCAACUGCUGCUCAAGGUCACCAACACGGCCACAACCACUCAGUCUUCGUCUCUUCACAAAAAAAUCAAUAGUAGGUUUUUUUCCUCACCUGUGUAACAUCUUGUCACUCCAGAUAAACACCACCAUCCCUGAGCUGGACUUGACCCAAGUUCCCUGGUCACAUCUCCAUGGCUUCCAAGUAGAUGACAGCAUCCUGGCUGGGCUAUCAGGUCCCAGGAUGCAAUGAUAUUACAGAAAUAGUUCCUGUGGCCCCAUAAGUCUACAGGAUUGAGGCUGCUUCUCACCUCUGUCUCCUUCCAAAUUGGCUCUGGAACAGGGAUAGGCUGUAAUAUAUAGAUGGGACCCUCAGAACCUCUACCUGAGGGGUUCAGGGGAGCCAGAGGCAGGUAACACCAGGCAGGAUCCUCCUUGAAUUCAUCCUUUAUGCCUUUAACAAAGUAACCAAGCACAUGCUCUAGCGAUAAUCAAUUUAGGCACAUCCCACAGAUUCCAGCUUCUCUGCCACCAACCACCAGGCAUGAUCUAAGCAAGCUCUUUCACCUCUUGGAGCCUUAAUUUUCUCAUCUACAAAAUGGAAUAACGCGAUCAUCCUUGAAGGUGAGUUACAUGUGAUCAUGGGUGUGAGCAGCUCUUUGUAAGCAAUGAAGGCCCAAGCAAUUGGAAGGGGUGGUGAUCAUGGAACUGUCAAAGGUACAUUUGUUGCUGUGAAAAACUGAAGGUACUGGACCAUUUUCUCAUCUUUCUACAGGUUGCUGGAAUCACAACUUAUAAUUAAUGCACAGUGAUAUGGCUUGACCCAGUUUCCUAAAUUGGAAUGUUUCAGCUAAAACUGAUGAAAAAUUCUUGUCUUCCAAGCAGAACUAGCUAGAUGAACCCCCUCCAGAGCUAGUGAGUAAAUAUAUACAG